GAUGAACGCUGGCGGCGUGCCUAAUACAUGCAAGUCGAGCGAACGGACGAGAAGCUUGCUUCUCUGAUGUUAGCGGCGGACGGGUGAGUAACACGUGGAUAACCUACCUAUAAGACUGGGAUAACUUCGGGAAACCGGAGCUAAUACCGGAUAAUAUUUUGAACCGCAUGGUUCAAAAGUGAAAGACGGUCUUGCUGUCACUUUUAGAUGGAUCCGCGCUGCAUUAGCUAGUUGGAAAGGUAACGGCUUACCAAGGCAACAAUGCAUAGCCGACCUGAGAGGGUGAUCGGCCACACUGGAACUGAGACACGGUCCAGACUCCUACGGGAGGCGGCAGUAGGGAAUCUUCCGCAAUGGGCGAAAGCCUGACGGAGCAACGCCGCGUGAGUGAUGAAGGUCUUCGGAUCGUAAAACUCUGUUAUUAGGGAAGAACAUAUGUGUAAGUAACUGUGCACAUCUUGACGGUACCUAAUCAGAAAGCCACGGCUAACUACGUG
Molecule: ribosomal RNA, 497 nt
Filed under: uncultured bacterium
Lineage: Bacteria
Description: partial 16S ribosomal RNA
Rfam family: Bacterial small subunit ribosomal RNA
Source: RNAcentral